CUCCACUUGUCGCAGAGGGAGCGGUGCAUUUUGCAGAAAGACAAGGGGCUUCUGGCGACCGGUUCCUCUCCCGCUGGGGCCUGGGAAAUGGCAGCUGCUGCAGACGCAGCCUUGAGGACAGCCACGUGCCCGCUCAGCACCGUUACUUAGAAGAUAGGAUCCAAGAGCCACGAAUCCAUCCACCGAAGCCAUCGAAUUAUUUUCUAUCCACCUAACCCAUCCAUCUUUCUGGCUACCACCCAUCCGCCCAUCCACCCAUCAGUCCCAUUUAUUCAUCACGCGCCCGACCACCCCGCACGUACAUCAACCCCAUCGUACACGUACGAUCCAUCCACCACCUACGUCCUCAUCCGUCUGCUGCUCCGCUGCCUGCUCCCUCACCCUUUUGUCUGGUCGGCGAGUCUGUGCCAGGCCCGUACCAGCCUCUCUGGGCCUCUGAGGUUGGCCAGAGAUGGGGCCUGGGCAAGCUCAGCUCUCACGGAGGGUAGAAGGUGACGUCCGGCCAUACCAGGAGAAGCCCGGGGCCAGAGGAUCCGAAAGGGUUCUGUGGAAGUGGUGGCCUUCAGCUGAUCCCUGACAGAGGGGAGGAUUAUAAAGGUUCGCUUUAGCUGUGAUUUGGGGGUCAGACCCCAUGGGGCAGAGGGGCGCCACAGCACAACCCAUUAGAGGCCUGUGGUGUGUCCAGACAGGAGUGGCCUGGACCGGAGGGAGGAUGUAGGUGAGGAAAUGGGGGGCAGCUAUGAGAAAUCAGGAGUCAAACCACGCAGGACCCGGUGAGGGAGUGGAUAUGGAGGCUGAAGGAGAGAGAGG
RNAcentral lists this long non-coding RNA (810 nucleotides) under Ursus maritimus (polar bear). Its description in RNAcentral is "lncRNA (ENSUMAG00000004915.1)". Lineage: Eukaryota; Metazoa; Chordata; Mammalia; Carnivora; Ursidae. The record is from RNAcentral.